UGCCCUAGUAGCUUGACCAUAAAGCGCCGGUUUUGUAAUCCGGAGAUCGAAGGUUGAAAUCCUUCCUAGUG
RNAcentral lists this transfer RNA (71 nucleotides) under Platysilurus malarmo. RNAcentral's name for it is "tRNA-Thr". It matches the Rfam family "tRNA". Rfam says of the family: Transfer RNA (tRNA) molecules are approximately 80 nucleotides in length. Their secondary structure includes four short double-helical elements and three loops (D, anti-codon, and T loops). Lineage: Eukaryota; Metazoa; Chordata; Actinopteri; Siluriformes; Pimelodidae. The record is from RNAcentral.